AACGAACGCUGGCGGCAUGCCUAACACAUGCAAGUCGAACGAGACCUUCGGGUCUAGUGGCGCACGGGUGCGUAACGCGUGGGAAUCUGCCCUUGGGUUCGGAAUAACAGUUGGAAACGACUGCUAAUACCGGAUGAUGACGUAAGUCCAAAGAUUUAUCGCCCAAGGAUGAGCCCGCGUUGGAUUAGCUAGUUGGUGGGGUAAAGGCUUACCAAGGCGACGAUCCUUAGCUGGUCUGAGAGGAUGAUCAGCCACACUGGGACUGAGACACGGCCCAGACUCCUACGGGAGGCAGCAGUGGGGAAUAUUGGACAAUGGGCGAAAGCCUGAUCCAGCAAUGCCGCGUGAGUGAUGAAGGCCUUAGGGUUGUAAAGCUCUUUUACCCGGGAUGAUAAUGACAGUACCGGGAGAAUAAGCUCCGGCUAACUCCGUG
Molecule: ribosomal RNA, 433 nt
Filed under: uncultured bacterium
Lineage: Bacteria
Description: partial 16S ribosomal RNA
Rfam family: Bacterial small subunit ribosomal RNA
Source: RNAcentral